UUCUUCGAUGUGAUAUAUAUGAUUUCGUUGCCCUCGGCUGUGAUGUUGGCUAGUUUGGCACAUCGUACGACAGCUCCGAAUUUGGGGAUAACAUAGUACAAUGUUCCGAAAUUGUCGAUGAUCAUGCUGCGACUGCUGCCCAGAAGACUGCCCAAAUGUUCUGUCCACCGUACUGUAUAGAUCACCAUCCUGGUCGGAGAGUAUGAGUUCCCCUUGAAUUCCGAAGAUGAAAUCCACUGGCUUGAUGGGAAACGAUUGAUUCAUAUUCUCGUACUUAUUGCUCUCCAAGGAUAGGCGGUGCCACGUCUGCUCCAGGAUGUCGUAGGCUAGAAUUUCUGGUACCUUUCCAAGGAUGAAGUAAAUAUGGCGCUCGUGCUCGCAUCCCGGACUCUUGGGUCCCAUUUGGACAGUCAGAAAGUGGGUGUCAUUAGCACCUAUAUGGUGUCCACAAUCGAUUCUCAAUAGCUCCGCGUUGUUACGCAUCAGAUCGAAGACAAACAAACGGGGUGAGCACGUGCUGCCGGGAAAUCCGAUGUCCAUGACCCACAGUCGACUCAGUGCAUCCACCUGGGACCAGUGUGCCUGUUGUACCAGAGAGCAAUCAUCAUGAUCCCCCAUGGAAUGAACAUCGAUGUGGGGAAAGACGACAGUGGGCAUGGGAAAAUAGGAAACCGGCCAUUGCGCCUCGAUCAAAGUGGGCGCAUCGUUGCUUUCUACAUUUACGCUGAGAAACACUCGCGAAAAGUGCAUCGAUAGAUGACGGACUUUGUAGCUGGAUUCGUUUAAACCAGAUUCGGAUAACAGCCAGGCGUCCGUGGCCAGAAUUAGACCAACAAUGAGAAAUCCCAAGCCGAGGACACCAUGUGUGACCAUCUUUAAACGCGAAUUCAGACUGAGCUUAGGGCUAGAGAACUCUGCUUACGUUGUAAGUGCCCGUUCAAGAAGUCCACCAAAGUGUCUACAUCAGCAGUUGGGAUCGGGUGUCGCCGAAUAUAUCGGCGACCUGCAUUAAUGGGGACCAGCAUUGGAGUGUUUCUCUAUUCACUUGUGGUCCCAAAAAAAAAAAGCUUACCAAUUUCAAUCGGAGAAUAUCGAAAUCAUGACACAGUUUCCUCUUAAAAUUACCCAAAAUUGGAUUGUUAUAUUUUUCAAAAUAAAUCAAAGUUAAAACCAAC
This is a non-coding RNA of Drosophila melanogaster (fruit fly), 1175 nucleotides long. The record is from Ensembl. NCBI's taxonomy places the organism in Eukaryota, Metazoa, Arthropoda, Insecta, Diptera, Drosophilidae.